GGGACCAAGGCAUUCUAGGAGGUGAUGGAGUCCCCCCAAUGCUUGCUGGUGGAAAACGCACACUAAAGCUUCCCCCAGAACUCGCAUACGGCAUGAGAGGGGCUGGGUGCAAAGGAGGUUCUUGUAUUAUUCCUCCAGAUUCGGUUCUUCUGUUUGAUGUAGAAUUCAUUGGCAAGGUAUGAGAAGUAGUUGCCACAAAGAAAGUGUCUACAUCAAUCAGUUUUUGGUUUUCUCCAACUUUUUAUUUGUAAAGUUGAAGAGAAGAAUCAAGAAA
Corylus avellana is the source of this 274-nucleotide long non-coding RNA. RefSeq lists it as uncharacterized. NCBI's taxonomy places the organism in Eukaryota, Viridiplantae, Streptophyta, Magnoliopsida, Fagales, Betulaceae. The record is from RefSeq and is a predicted model, not a curated record.